CACCAUUACUGAAAUCAAAGGCAGGAUGUGGUGGAAGGAGUUUUUCUUCAGAUUAAUUUGCAUGUAUUUAAGUGUAAGCAAUAACGCUAUUUAUUAUAUGUGAAGUUUAACCUUUACUUAAAACUGAGUGUGAUCUUUACCUCCCAUGCAGAAAUGGAAGCUGGAAAAAUGGCAUCUUCAUCAAAAAGCACAAACUUGUCAUCACCCUCAAGCAAAGGGAGAAUGAGACAGAAGUAAUAUCACCUUUAACAGUAUUCUCUCACAGCUCAAACGGAAGUUUCUCAAAGGCUGGCUGGCAGAUUUGUUUUUGUUUGGAGAGGAACACAGUUUGAACGACGCAUUAGGCCAUUCUUGUCUUUAGCUAGAAGGUAAGGAGUGGUGAAGGGCAUGGAGUGUGUCCUCUGACUCUGGCAUGAAAAAAAAAUGUGCAUCUCCAGAGGUGGACAGCAAAUGGAUCAGCUACACUGCCGGUUCAACAGAACAAGAAAAUCAUAAUCUUCAGGUGGCUUAUCUUCAUAUGAACACUUCGAACAUGAAAUCAGUGCGUUGGUAUUUUGUGCUGAUUUUUGAGAGGGUACUGAGUGUCAACAUCUGGCACCGAGUUCAUCAAGAGUCAUGUGUUCAGCAUCUCUGAAAUGCUAGGCACACAAUUACAAGAUAAAGUUUGAGCUACAUCUCUUGAAGGCAUUAUUUCUCAAAAACAGAAAGAUAAGAUAGCCAAG
This 722-nucleotide long non-coding RNA is filed under the name Numida meleagris (helmeted guineafowl). Its description in RNAcentral is "lncRNA (ENSNMEG00000017285.1)". The record is from RNAcentral. Lineage: Eukaryota; Metazoa; Chordata; Aves; Galliformes; Numididae.